CUAUCACUAACACGCUCUAUCUCUUGUUGAACGGUUGAACCUAUACACUAUACAGAGUUUGGACCCAUUGCUAGCCCACUGCAAGUUUGGUACUGAUCGUCUCUCCUCUACCACUGGCCAGAUAUAGUAUUACCUCCAAGGCUCCAAUGCUCCACACGUGUACAGUUAAAAGCAAAGCAAUCGUACUGGUGUAGAGUUUCCAGUUGUGUUAGGUUACCUCCAAGGCUCCAAUGCUCCACGUGUAUGGUUAAAAGCAAAGCAAGUGUAUUGGCGGAGAGUUUCCAG
This is a long non-coding RNA of Quercus robur (English oak), 285 nucleotides long. RefSeq lists it as uncharacterized. Lineage: Eukaryota; Viridiplantae; Streptophyta; Magnoliopsida; Fagales; Fagaceae. The record is from RefSeq and is a predicted model, not a curated record. The transcript has 3 exons.